RNAcentral lists this ribosomal RNA (469 nucleotides) under uncultured Curtobacterium sp. RNAcentral's name for it is "bacterial SSU rRNA". It matches the Rfam family "Bacterial small subunit ribosomal RNA", at positions 916 to 1381 of the family's 1533-position model. The record is from RNAcentral. Lineage: Bacteria; Bacillati; Actinomycetota; Actinomycetes; Micrococcales; Microbacteriaceae.
GGACGGGGCCCGCACAGGCGGCGGAGCAUGCGGAUUAAUUCGAUGCAACGCGAAGAACCUUACCAAGGCUUGACAUACACCGGUAACGCCCAGAGAUGGGUGCCCCUUUGUGGUCGGUGUACAGGUGGUGCAUGGUUGUCGUCAGCUCGUGUCGUGAGAUGUUGGGUUAAGUCCCGCAACGAGCGCAACCCUCGUCCUAUGUUGCCAGCGGGUCAUGCCGGGGACUCAUGGGAGACUGCCGGGGUCAACUCGGAGGAAGUGGGGAUGACGUCAAAUCAUCAUGCCCCUUAUGUCUUGGGCUUCACGCAUGCUACAAUGGCCGGUACAAAGGGCUGCGAUACCGCGAGGUGGAGCGAAUCCCAGAAAGCCGGUCUCAGUUCGGAUUGGGGUCUGCAACUCGACCCCAUGAAGUCGGAGUCGCUAGUAGUCGCAGAUCAGCAACGCUGCGGUGAAUACGUUCCCGGGCCUU